UAUGGCGACCGGCGCACGGGUGAGUAACACGUAUCCAACCUGCCGAUGACUCGGGGAUAGCCUUUCGAAAGAAAGAUUAAUACCCGAUAGCAUAAUGAUUCCGCAUGGUUUCAUUAUUAAAGGAUUCCGGUAAAGGAUGGGGAUGCGUUCCAUUAGGUUGUUGGUGAGGUAACGGCUCACCAAGCCUUCGAUGGAUAGGGGUUCUGAGAGGAAGGUCCCCCACGUUGGAACUGAGACACGGUCCAA
RNAcentral lists this ribosomal RNA (246 nucleotides) under uncultured bacterium. RNAcentral's name for it is "partial 16S ribosomal RNA". It matches the Rfam family "Bacterial small subunit ribosomal RNA", at positions 87 to 334 of the family's 1533-position model. The record is from RNAcentral.